This 253-nucleotide ribosomal RNA is filed under the name uncultured bacterium. RNAcentral describes it as "partial 16S ribosomal RNA". It matches the Rfam family "Bacterial small subunit ribosomal RNA", at positions 524 to 776 of the family's 1533-position model. The record is from RNAcentral.
UACGAAGGGGGCUAGCGUUGCUCGGAAUGACUGGGCGUAAAGGGCGCGUAGGCGGAUGGCACAGUCAGAUGUGAAAUUCCCGGGCUUAACCUGGGGGCUGCAUUUGAUACGUGUGAUCUAGAGUGAGGAAGAGGGUCGUGGAAUUCCCAGUGUAGAGGUGAAAUUCGUAGAUAUUCGGAAGAACACCAGUGGCGAAGGCGACUAACUGGACACGUAUUGACGCUGAGGUACGAAAGCGUGGGGAGCAAACAGG